CAGUCGCCGCGGGAAUACGAAGGGGGCUAGCGUUGUUCGGAAUUACUGGGCGUAAAGGGCGCGUAGGCGGCCAUUCAAGUUAGAUGUGAAAGCCCUGGGCUCAACCUAGGAAUUGCAUUUGAUACUGUUUGGCUUGAGUUCGGGAGAGGUGAGUGGAAUUCCCAGUGUAGAGGUGAAAUCCGUAGAUAUUGGGAAGAACACCAGUGGCGAAGGCGGCUCACUGGACCGACACUGACGCUGAGGCGCGAAAGCGUGGGGAGCAAACAGGAUUAGAUACCCCCGUAGUCCCUGUCUCUUAUAC
Molecule: ribosomal RNA, 301 nt
Filed under: uncultured bacterium
Lineage: Bacteria
Description: partial 16S ribosomal RNA
Rfam family: Bacterial small subunit ribosomal RNA
Source: RNAcentral